Long non-coding RNA from Crotalus tigris (Tiger rattlesnake), 6437 nucleotides. RefSeq lists it as uncharacterized. The record is from RefSeq and is a predicted model, not a curated record. The transcript is spliced from 2 exons. NCBI's taxonomy places the organism in Eukaryota, Metazoa, Chordata, Lepidosauria, Squamata, Viperidae.
CUAUCAACUAAGCAACGGGGUUUCCACACCGUUCUAGGAGAACGAAGUUUGAAAAAAAAGUAUUUAAUGAAGUGAGUAGUAGAUUGGAAAAGCAGUAUUUAAUGAAGUGAGUAGUAAGUUUGAUAAACGCAGUCUUUAAUGUUGUAGGAAGUUUGAAAAAAAGCAAUACUAAAUAGUCUGGAAAAGCAGAAUCUGAUAAUUUGGAAAAAAAAGUAAAGUGAGUAGUAAUUUUUUUUUGGGGGGGGGGUGGAACAGUACUUAAUGAAGUGAGUUUGGCACGUUGCAACGCAGCUGCUCGAUCUGUAACGGAGCAUAAACUAGUGUACAGAGGGGAAAGGCCACGCAACCCCACGGCUGCCAGCAGGGCAAUUCCCUGCAAAGACCUGUAACCUCCACCGAUUCCAGCGGGCCUGUUCUUGCCAGCCGACCCGUCCAAAAGCCUACGCUGCGAUCCGCUCCAGGAGAUUCCUCCGCUGAAGCGGAGGUAUCGGACGCUCGGCCGGAGAGAGAGGGAAAAGCCGGAGCCGUUGGUGAGCUUGUAAUAGGAGACAAGCGUCCGUCACUGUGGAGCUAGUAGCAGGGCGGGCACAGCCCAGGAGUAAUAGCAAAAGCGAAAGUAGCUGGGCGGCUUGGCGGCAACAGCAGCCGCUUCAACACCGACGGCAGCUGCUUAGCGAAAAAGCAGAAGUUAGUUUAGGCUUACGGGAAAAAAAAAAAAAAAACAAUAGCAGGGGGAUUCCGGCCUGCCCCAACAGCCCUGAUUGGUCGAGAUGGGCUUCCCAGGAGGAGAAGGCGGCGGCGGGGGGGGGGUCGUUGAUCCUCAGCAUAAAAUACCCGGGAAGGAGCGGAGCAGAACUGUCCGGAGCGCAGCUUGGUGCGCGCGGCGGGCCGGUUAGACGGCUGUUUCCCUGCAGGCCAGGCGUGGCCCGGCUCCUGCUGACUUUUGGGACGGUCCAGCAGGGCCAAGCAAGACCACCUGCCCGGCGAAGCCGCCUUCUGAAGUCGGCCAGGUGAAAGGAAGGGAGGGAGGGAAGGAAGGAAGGAGGGAGGGCUCUGCAAACGGGGCAGGGGCAGCGGGAGAGCCGCACGUGCUCCUGCAGGUGGGCGCCAGAAACGCGGGAGAAGCGAGACCCGCGAAAGCCCCCGAUUCCUCCUGCCGCGUUUCCACCCGUGACUUUUCUAUGGGAGUCAAAGCGUUUCCAGGGGUGGACCCUGCGAGGUGACGGCGGCGCGGCUGAACCGGGAGGCGGAAAGGACUUGCCCCCAGCCUUGGGGCCAGGGUGCGGCCGGGUUAAGGAAGCGGAGCGUGGCCUUGAAGCAGCCAGGAGCUGAGCGCCUUCCUGCCAAGAGGCCAACGACCUGCCUUACAGGCUCACAUGCAGGAGAUGGAGGCAUAGAUGUCUCCUGAUAUGGCUCUCCGCAACUGGAACUUGGAGGCAAGCUACCCCUCCCAACCGGAAAGUAACACGGAGUCUUCAAGAUUAACAGCCCUUAAGAAAUGUGUCUGUCAGGAAUUUGCCAUAUUUCUAUGUAGGCCAUCCAUGUUGCCGGUCAUCACAUCUUAUGGUAAUGAAUCCUGCCACUUCAUGAUGCACUGUGUGAAGAUAAAGAUCCGAACCUUGAAAAGCAAGAUCUGAGUCUUCAGACGGAUAUGUAUCCAGCUGCUGAGACUUUGAGAUGGGUUUAUUGACCUUCAUUGAGGUUUGUCUACUUGCAGGAUUUAAGCAUGCAGUGUUACUGUCACUGAAAUGAUCCUCACACUCUUGCACUGUGCCAUACGCGUCGCUGUCCUGUGAGAUUUGCAGUGUGCAGCCAUGUCUCUCCAGCCACAAAAUCCACCUCCUCCUAUUUUGCUUUCAAUCUGUUACCAGCUUCUGCAAAGGCUUAAGAAUGGGCAACGGAAUCCCAAAAGCAGCUGUUUUGUUCCAUUUUCCAGCUGCCCUUGGAUUCCGUUCCUUGCUCUUUUGCCCACUUCUCCAGGAUUUCAUUCAUUCUCUUCUGUAACUUAUGGUGUAGCGAACUGUUUGAGGAACCACUGGAAGAAACAAUAUUUUUUUUAAAAAAAUAAAGCACAAAGACCCCAUUCUGUUCAAUCAUGAGAACUAGAAACUUAUUUAUAAAAUGAUAGGCAAUAAAUUCAACAUACACCAAAAAAGUCUGAGCUGGCUACCCCCAAGAAUAAUGGAUGCUGCAGGACAAUCUGUUCAGUGGCAACAAAUUAGACUUUGAUUUAAACAGACUGGUAGUUCUUAAAUCAGCUAAAUAUCAAGGAUGAAGUAAAUGUUGGGUAGAAGCAUGAAACGUAGUAGUAGUAAAAAAAACCAUGUUUUCCUCCUGGCUGAUUCAAUCUCGGGAAUAAUCUUGAAAGGUGAAUUUUGCUGCUGUUCCUUCAUGAGCUGCACAGUCAACUUAAGGAACUAAUUUCAAAGUCAUUGCCAUUUGGGGGUGGCCUUCCCUACAUGUAUUAAGACUGUAACUCCUAGAAAUCUUAGCUUAUUUGGAGAGUGUCAAGUUGGGAGAAGAUGAUCUUUGCCAUAACACUAAUUCAUGGACAAUUGGUCUCUCAGUGGCAAUUCCUCACUUGUUCGGGAUAGCUGUCCUGGUGCAUAGGGUUUUGUGGACUUCCCGAGAGCACACAACAGCCUGUGGUUGCCAAGUGUUGUGGUCACAUGACAAUUUUUGUCUAAAGACUACUUUGCUCAGCAACAACAAUUCCAGUCCCAGUUAGGGUCAUUAAAUGACUACCUGUACUUCCAAUGGAAUAUUAGUGAGGGAGCCUCCUCUCUGUUGAAGGUGGGAGCUUUGGUAGGAGGUGAAAGGGAACAGACUGAGUGUGGGACUGUUGAUAGCUUGAGUUACAGCAUUGUGUGUGUUUGUGGAGGAGGAACUCCUUCAGGUUUCCUCAUACUUUUCUGUGCAGUGGUGAUAACAAGCUAUUUCCUGGGCAGAAGUCAGUAGAGCUGGGGCCUGCAGAUGUUGCAGUAGGCUAGAGUUCCCUUUAAGGCAAAGUGAGCAGGAUGUAAUGAAGCAGGCAUGAAUUUUCCCCAAGUUCAGAGGAAACGAAAUAAUGAGUUUGGAAAUGGCCUGGCUGAGUGGGCCUAGUGCCUGGGAGGAUAGUAUUUAUUAUUUGUCUUUUCUUGGGCUUGGAAACUGAGCCAGAUCAGAUCUGGUUACUCCAAAGACAAGGCUAAACUCUGAAGUGAGAAAAAAUUCUCCAAGUGAGGCAGUGGUAAACCACUUCCCCGUUGCUGCCAGGAAAACGAUGUGAAUUUGGUCAAGUAAUCAAGGGAUUGAUUAAUUUCUAAGUAACCUAACGAGUAAUCUGAAAAGUGAGUUUUGCUGCUUCAGAGGGGUCAAUCUGGAUUUAGAUACCUCAGAACAUGUCCUAUGCUCAUUGUGAGGCCAAAAGAGUUCUUUCAGCAUGACUUUAUUUCAUUCAUUCAUUCAUUCAAUUUCUAUAGCCUCCCCUUCACACCAAACAAGUGACUCUGGGUGGCAUACAAUAAACCUAAGCAGUCAAUAAAUACCUAAAACCAUUACAUUAUUAGAACACAUUAAAGCCAUAAAAAAACUAUAAAAAUAGAGCAUGAGGUUCUAACUAACAAAAUAAAACACACCAUCCUUGGAGGCAAAACUGAGGGAUGAGAAGGUGCUUUCAAUCAUGCCAAUUUGUGUACUCGUCAAGGAGUGCUUUCCAAAAAAAAAAAAAAAAUGUGUAGGGAUACAGUUAUUUUUCUUCCUGAUCAAAAAUGAAGGCAGAUGCCUCUACUCUGCCAAAAUAAGCUAACAUCCUGAGCCUCUUGUCCAAAUCUGAGCCUGACUGGGAUGCUUAUCAUUUUCCCAACAAAGGGGGCUGUAUCCUUAAAACUGCUACUGUUUCCCUCAUCCUUUAAAAGGUAGGAAAGCUCUUGCACCCAAUAUCACUGGGCUACAGAGACUUGAAGAGAGUUCUGUAACAAGGUAGUCUCUGACUUAAGAUUGAUCACCAUUUGAAGUUACAACUAGCCUCCCCAGGGUUAUUUAGUGCCCAGUUUCAAAAUUCCGACUCCCAGUCAUGGGAUCAUAUUUUGGAUGUUUGGUAACUGAGCGAAAUUUAGAGCUGUUUGCAGCGCUCUGUUAUGUGAUCAUGAUUUGCAAUGUUUAUUUCUGUUUCCAACAAAAAAAAUGCCCAUUGGGUGCAAUGGGUUUGCUUAAUGACUCUCAGGUUCACUUGCUACAAAAGAGGUUGUAAAAUCAGUUACGUGGUAACUCACUUAACUAUCAGCAUGAGUUACAACUGUAAGUCUGACUUCAAUUCUCUAGCUUGCAUCAUAAAUAAUUACUAUGGAUGCUUGUUCUGGGAUAAGAGAUCCCUGGUGCCUCAAGAUUUUGCUGAACGACAGUUCUCCAUAGGGUUGAAAGGGCAGGGUAAGGCUGUUGUGAGGACUGACAUCAUUCUACCCCUUUUACAGAGUCAGCAGGAAAACAGCUGAAACUUCUCAUCAAAAUGGGGAAAGCCCCCAAAUCCAGUGCUUGGUCCUCGCAUAUUAAUUGUGACGAGAAGGAAUCCUGAGGGUAAAAUUUUCUUCAGGGUUGUCCCACUUGAUAAUUUUUCCUCAUGGAUGGCAUUUGAACAUUUUUUUUUCUUCCCCAAACGAAUUGAGUUGAUCCUAAAAAAAACAGCCCAGUUGCCUCUUGAAAAAGCACCUUUGGGAUAACCAUGACGUGGAUGACUGAGAAUCUCCAUAGACAAAUUGAGGUGAUGCGAGAUAAAACUGUAAUUCCCCCAAAUGGAAGGCAUUUCUGCUCAUUGGGGGAGGGGAUCAGAAGGUAUAGACUGAAAGGCCCUUGGGCAAACUCUAGCCCAAUGGGAACUGGGAGGAGGGUUUUUUUUUCAAUCUUUGACUGUGUUGUCAUUAAAUUAGAUUUAAUGCCAAGGUAUGUGCUUCAGAUUAGCCUUGUUGAGUUUGGUGUUCUCCAAAUGGAUUGAAUGCAAUCUUCCUGGCUGUAAAAUGAGGCCUGAUACCUCUGGUAGACAUUAAGUUGGGGUAAGUAGCCUCAAAGUCUCAUGUGGGAAAAACAUGCCUUUUUUUUUUUUUUUGAAUGGAUGAUUUGUUGGGCUUGUCAAGUCAAAUUACUCAUUGCAACUGAUCCAGAAUGUUUUUUUCAGUGUCUGCCUUUUUAUUUGACAUAUUUCAUUAGUGUUGCUUCUUCUCUUAGGAAUAGGUAGACAAGGCAAAAAGCAGGAAGAGGGAUGCAUGCAUGUGGGAACACCACCACCAUGAAUCAGGUAUCUAGAUGCUCAGGUCUGGAGGAAGAUUCGGGAGGAGAAAUUGCCAAGGAAUGACACGAUCACUCCCGCUGAGCGAGUGGACACAGAGCCACGGGGCUGUCGUGUCUGUCCUCAGCUUUUUCCAAGAUCCCAGAUGAGCCCAUGAAAGGGACUGGAAGCAUCUGCUGUUGUGUGAUGCUAUUUGUGUCUGGUCUCUUAUUUACAAUAGUUUUAAUCCCAGUAGAAUAACUGGGAGCAAAGAGAUUGUGUUCAGACAACACUUAAGUCAGUUAAUCCAUUGCUUGUUUGUAUACUACCCUGAACCAUACACCAAUAAAUUGCAUUUUAGCCUAAUGUGUGAACAGAGUCGUCAUAGCCGCCAAGAAUAGAUACAAUUUUCCCUACAGUCAUUUCCAUAUCGAUGAUUUUUAGCAUACAGGUAGUCCUUGAUUUAAGUUAAAAUGGUGUUGAAAAAAGUAACUUAGAACCCAUCCUCAAAAGUUACAACCAUCACAUUACCCCUGUGAUCACAGUUGCAAUUUGGGUGCUUGGUAACCACCUUGCCUUUAUGAUAAAUGCAGUGUCCUGCGGUCAUGUUAUGAUUCGUGACCUUCCCAACCAAUUUCCAAUAAGCAAUAAGAUGGAUUUGCUUAAUGACCACAUGAUUUACUUAAUGACUGCCAUAAAAAUGGUAGUAAAAUCAGGUCUGGUAAUGUGAUGACUUGUUUAAUGACCAAAUCACUUAGCAAUUGACCAUAAUACUGUAAUAUUUGCUUUUAUAAUUGAUUCAUCACCAUGAAUGAUGCUAUAAAGUGGUAUAAAUCGUUAUUUUGGAAUAGCCUCAAAUUGCAUAAUGUUACACAAUAAGGAAAAGAGAAGGAAAACCCUUAAGAGUUUUACACUUUGGAUAUCAUGCCCAAGGCAAUUUCUAGCAUCUUAACAUUAAUACUAUAUAGCAUGAAGUAGGGAACUUUAACGUUUUAUGAGAAAAUAUAAUUACAGUGUAGACAAUUCAUUAUUGAUUUAAAAGCAAAAGCAAACAAUGAAAUGGUUGGGGUAAUAAAUUGGUUAAAUGUUUAAACAAAUAUACCCAAGUUUUGCUACUUAUUCUGACUGGUGUAUACAUAGGCCGAAAUAGGAAUUAUCUUGUAACAUUACUGUUUGCUAAUAAAAUACUUAUAUUAAA